CCCUUAGAUGUUCGGGGCCGCACGCGCGCUACACUGAAGGAAUCAGCACGUCUUUCUCCUUGUCCGAAAGGACUGGGUAACCCGCUGAACCUCCUUCGUGCAAGGGAUUGGGGCUUGUAAUUCUUCCCCAUGAACGAGGAAUUCCCAGUAAGCGCGAGUCAUAAGCUCGCGUUGAUUACGUCCCUGCCCUUUGUACACACCGCCCGUCGCUACUACCGAUUGGAUGGUUUAGUGAGAUCCUCGGAUUGGUCCCGGAGCGGCCUCUGGUCGUGCCGGAGUGCCGAAAAGAAUGUCGAACUUGGUCAUCUAGAGGAAGUAAAAGUCGUAACA
RNAcentral lists this ribosomal RNA (330 nucleotides) under uncultured eukaryote. Its description in RNAcentral is "partial 18S ribosomal RNA". It matches the Rfam family "Eukaryotic small subunit ribosomal RNA", at positions 1470 to 1796 of the family's 1831-position model. The record is from RNAcentral.